Molecule: ribosomal RNA, 680 nt
Filed under: uncultured archaeon
Lineage: Archaea
Description: bacterial SSU rRNA
Rfam family: Archaeal small subunit ribosomal RNA
Source: RNAcentral
AGUCAUGGGGCCGCAAGGCACCGGCGCACGGCUCAGUAACACGCGGAUAAUCUAUCCUCUGGUGAGGGAUAACCUCGGGAAACUGAGGCUAAUACCUCAUAGACAUUCAAUUCUGGAAAGAUUGAAUGUUGAAAGCGCAAGUGCCAGAGGGUGAGUCUGCGGCCUAUCAGGUAGUAGGUGGUGUAAUGGACCACCUAGCCUAAGACGGGUACGGGCCUUGAGAGAGGGAGCCCGGAGAUGGGUUCUGAGACACGAACCCAGGCCCUACGGGGCGCAGCAGGCGCGAAACCUUCGCACUGCGCGAAAGCGCGACGAGGGGAGACCGAGUGCCUCUCCUUUUUGGGGAGGCUUUUCGCAAGCCUAAAAAGCUUGUGGAAUAAGGGCUGGGCAAGACGGGUGCCAGCCGCCGCGGUAAUACCCGCAGCUCAAGUGGUGGUCGCUUUUAUUGUGCCUAAAACGUUCGUAGUCGGCCUUGUAAAUCCCUGGGUAAAUCGGGGCGCUUAACGUUUCGAAUUCCGGGGAGACUGCAAGGCUAGGGACCGGGCGAGGUCAGAGGUACUUUCGGGGUAGGAGUGAAAUCCUGUAAUCCCGAAGGGACCACCUGUGGCGAAAGCGUCUGACUUGAACGGCUCCGACGAUGAGGAACGAAGGCUAGGGGAGCAAACCGGAUUAGAUACCCG